AUGGUUGAGUAGAGCGAGGAGAUCGAGAGGGGAAAUAGUCACUUGAUUUUUGCGGAUUAUGUUGAGCAUGGAGAUUGAUCUUAACGUUUUGGUUGUCCGCAGAUUCAAUGAUGACAACACGCACACCUUUCCCUGAUGCUUGGGCAAAGGCAUGUAUGUCCGAUGUGCAGGCAAAACUUUAUAGAUGCAGAUUACAUACAUUAGAAAUUGCCAACUCGAUGGAUGAUAAAUACUAUGACUUGGGACUCAGAAAAAAGAUCAACACGUAGGUAUGGGAGUUCGGAAUAUCCAACAUUCCCUAGCUACUCCCUAAUUGCUUUACGCACUACCUGCAAUUGCAAGCUCAAUGUGCUUACAUUUCGAUUAGCUAAAUCUCUUUGUUGGCAAUAGUUAAUAGGUUAGGUGAAGUUUAGAACAAUAUGUCAAUAUGGUAAAGCUUUAUUUUAUUUAGGCUAGCAGCCUGCUAUAUAAAUUAUAAGGUGUGUAAAAAAUCUCAGUUAGCUGUGCGUGGCUUCCUUUGAUCGGAUCGUCGCUUGAGUAGACGAUUCGCCGUACACCAAGCUACUAUAGGCUUAUCACAGUUUGGCCAAGACGAAACUCUCACAUAUGAGAUAGCUACUAGAUCAAUAGUUCAAUUGUUUGCCUCAGGCCAUAACCUUGAUAACGAUAAUUUUUUCUUGUACUUACAGAUGCAGAUUACAUAGAUCAGGACUUGCUAACUCGGCGUAUGACACAUACUAAACGACAUCAACACGUAGGUAUGAG
RNAcentral lists this long non-coding RNA (765 nucleotides) under Triticum aestivum (bread wheat). Its description in RNAcentral is "long non-coding RNA (TAES_LNC021452)". The record is from RNAcentral. Lineage: Eukaryota; Viridiplantae; Streptophyta; Magnoliopsida; Poales; Poaceae.